GACGAACGCUGGCGGCGUGCCUAAUACAUGCAAGUAGAACGCUGAAGGAGGAGCUUGCUUCUCUGGAUGAGUUGCGAACGGGUGAGUAACGCGUAGGUAACCUGCCUGGUAGCGGGGGAUAACUAUUGGAAACGAUAGCUAAUACCGCAUAAGAGUAGAUGUUGCAUGACAUUUACUUAAAAGGUGCAAUUGCAUCACUACCAGAUGGACCUGCGUUGUAUUAGCUAGUUGGUGAGGUAACGGCUCACCAAGGCAACGAUACAUAGCCGACCUGAGAGGGUGAUCGGCCACACUGGGACUGAGACACGGCCCAGACUCCUACGGGAGGCAGCAGUAGGGAAUCUUCGGCAAUGGACGGAAGUCUGACCGAGCAACGCCGCGUGAGUGAAGAAGGUUUUCGGAUCGUAAAGCUCUGUUGUAAGAGAAGAACGAGUGUGAGAGUGGAAAGUUCACACUGUGACGGUAUCUUACCGGAAAGGGACGGCUAACUACGUG
RNAcentral lists this ribosomal RNA (495 nucleotides) under uncultured bacterium. Its description in RNAcentral is "partial 16S ribosomal RNA". It matches the Rfam family "Bacterial small subunit ribosomal RNA", at positions 28 to 507 of the family's 1533-position model. The record is from RNAcentral.